UCCUAGAGAUAGGAAUUUCCCCUUCGGGGGACAGGGUGACAGGUGGUGCAUGGUUGUCGUCAGCUCGUGUCGUGAGAUGUUGGGUUAAGUCCCGCAACGAGCGCAACCCUUGAUCUUAGUUGCCAGCAUUCAGUUGGGCACUCUAAGGUGACUGCCGGUGACAAACCGGAGGAAGGUGGGGAUGACGUCAAAUCAUCAUGCCCCUUAUGACCUGGGCUACACACGUGCUACAAUGGAUGGAGCCGCGAGGUGGAGCCAAUCCCACAAAACCAUUCUCAGUUCGGAUUGCAGGCUGCAACUCGCCUGCAUGAAGCCGGAAU
RNAcentral lists this ribosomal RNA (320 nucleotides) under uncultured bacterium. RNAcentral describes it as "bacterial SSU rRNA". It matches the Rfam family "Bacterial small subunit ribosomal RNA", at positions 998 to 1332 of the family's 1533-position model. The record is from RNAcentral.